UGGCAGCACUGUGUCGGGGGCCCGCUGUCAGUGACAGCAGGGCAACCAAGAGAGAAGGCAGGGACAGUUCCCAGGUGUCCCUGCCUUCUAGAUCGCUGCAUACACAACGCUCAAUGAGCACUGUGUAUGCAGACCAGGAAGCGGUC
This is a long non-coding RNA of Bufo bufo (common toad), 146 nucleotides long. RefSeq lists it as uncharacterized. The transcript is spliced from 3 exons. The record is from RefSeq and is a predicted model, not a curated record. NCBI's taxonomy places the organism in Eukaryota, Metazoa, Chordata, Amphibia, Anura, Bufonidae.